Molecule: ribosomal RNA, 440 nt
Filed under: uncultured bacterium
Lineage: Bacteria
Description: partial 16S ribosomal RNA
Rfam family: Bacterial small subunit ribosomal RNA
Source: RNAcentral
CCUACGGGCGGCAGCAGUGGGGGAUAUUGCACAAUGGGGGAAACCCUGAUGCAGCGACGCCGCGUGUAGGAAGACGGUCCUCUGGAUUGUAAACUACUGUCGCCAGGGACGAAGAUGACGGUACCUGGGGAGGAAGCACCGGCUAACUACGAGCCAGCAGCCGCGGUAAUACGUAGGGAGCGAGCGUUGUCCGGAAUUACGGGGUGUCAAGGGAGGGUAGGCGGGGAGGCAAGUUGGGUGUUAAAUCUACCGGCUCAACUGGGAGUCGCACUCAAAACUGCAGCUCUUGAGUGAAGUAGAGGCAGGCGGAAUUCCUAGUGUAGCGGUGAAAUGCGUAGAUAUUAGGAGGAACACCAGUGGCGAAGGCGGCCUGCUGGGCUUUUACUGACGCUGAGGCUCGAAAGUGUGGGGAGCAAACAGGAUUAGAUACCCGUGUAGUC